RNAcentral lists this ribosomal RNA (466 nucleotides) under uncultured bacterium. Its description in RNAcentral is "partial 16S ribosomal RNA". It matches the Rfam family "Bacterial small subunit ribosomal RNA", at positions 28 to 507 of the family's 1533-position model. The record is from RNAcentral.
GAUGAACGCUGGCGGCGUGCUUAACACAUGCAAGUCGAACGGAAAGGCCCAAGCUUGCUUGGGUACUCGAGUGGCGAACGGGUGAGUAACACGUGGGUGAUCUGUCCUGCACUUCGGGAUAAGCCUGGGAAACUGGGUCUAAUACCGGAUAGGACCACAUUUUGGAUGGUGUGGUGGAAAGUUUUUCGGUGUGGGAUGAGCUCGCGGCCUAUCAGCUUGUUGGUGGGGUAAUGGCCUACCAAGGCGUCGACGGGUAGCCGGCCUGCGAGGGUGUACGGCCACAUUGGGACCGAGAUAAGGCCCAGACUCCUACGGGGGGCAGCAGGGGGGAAUAUUGCACAAUGGGCGCAAGCCUGAUGCAGCGACGCCGCGUGGGGGAUGACGGCCUUCGGGUUGUAAACUCCUUUCGCUAGGGACGAAGCGUUAUGUGACGGUACCUGGAGAAGAAGCACCGGCUAACUACGUG